This is an RNA transcript of Cucurbita pepo subsp. pepo (vegetable marrow), 2545 nucleotides long. It is a transcript of the gene named myosin-binding protein 7, with no coding region annotated. The record is from RefSeq and is a predicted model, not a curated record. Lineage: Eukaryota; Viridiplantae; Streptophyta; Magnoliopsida; Cucurbitales; Cucurbitaceae.
AAGAUCGCUCCGACAAACGAACCUCCAACGGAUCGGCGAUUCACUUAGAAAUCUAACGGUCCAUCUCGCUUUCUUUCUCUCUCUCUCGCUCGUUUCUCUCCCAUUCUCUCUGCUCAGAGCUUUUUCCCUCUCUCUCUCUCUAUCUUUCAUCAACAAUAUCGCAGAAAUCGAGAAAUCCGAAUGAAAGAGACCUGAUACGACAAAGAAUUCAUUUAAUUUAGGGUUUCCAAAUCUCUCUUAUUCUCUUCCCCUCCAAAUUCUGUUUCCCUCCAAGAAAGCUUUCCCCUAUUUGUUGUUCCCCUCUGUUCUUAAUUUUUUUUUUUUUUUUCGGGGUAUAAGCUUGAUUUUUUUAUUUGAAGAAGUGGGGGAAGGUUUUCUUAAUCUGAGUUUCUUCAGAUUUUGUUUGGGGGAAUUGGAAUUUUCGCGGGAAAAUACCAAUAGUUUGUGAUUCUCAAUUCUUUCCACGCCUUCUCGGGUCGUUUAAGCUCCUUCAAGGUAGUUCUGUUCUCUGUGUUUCUGAUCUCGGAGGAAGAAGACCUGAUUUUAGGAGGGGAGAGAAUUAAAUACAGAAAUCCAUAAUUCAAGAGAGUGGAUUUGUGAAUUUCAUUACCGGGUCCUGUUAUCUUGUUUGGAUUUAUCCUUAGUUGUAGAAUCACAUUGUGUUGCAUUUCAUAUACAAUUUGAUUAGAGUUUGAAUGCACAUUGGUUUAUGGAUUUCAAGGCACCUCCAUCUUCAUUGGAAAUUGUAAAAAGCAGUAAUUUCCCCUGCAGUUGUUCAUUGUCCACUGGGCCAUCCACUACUUGGAUUCGAUCUGUUAAAAGGAAGUAUGAAGAAUCGGAUUCUUUUAGCCCACUUGCUAUUGUUGGGUUGGAUAAUUUUUCUGUCAUACGGGUACAUAUUGAGAAUGAAUGUAACGCUUUGCGGGAGAUGGCUAAUAAUCAGAAACAAACAAUUCAGGAUUUGUAUAUUGAACUCGAAGAGGAGAGGAAUGCUUCUUCCUCAGCUGCUAAUGAGGCAAUGUCAAUGAUAUUGAGAUUGCAAAGGGAGAAGGCAGAGAUCCAGAUGGAGGCUCGACAAUUCAAACGCUUCGCCGAAGAGAAGAUGGCACAUGAUCUACAGGAGCUUGCAGCAGUUGAGGACUUGUUAUAUAAAAGAGAGCAAGUUAUUCAAUCCCUCACUUGUGAGGUACAAGCAUAUAAACAUAGAAUGAUGAGCUAUGGGCUAACGGAAGCCGAGGCUGAUGGCGAGAGGGUUCAGCAGAAUAGUAGCCAGAAUACCGUGGAAUACGAGGCACAAUGCGAAUCUCCGAUGUAUGAUUACCCUCCCUUACGAUGCAGCUUAAACGAGGCUCAAGGUCCUUUUGAUCAUGAUAAUGAUAUUGCUGAUAUUGAGAAAUAUGCGUUUGGUGAGACCCCGCGUACUCGAGAUCACGUCAUGGAUUUGGAAAAUAGGAUCAGCCAAUUGGAGAGAAGUUCUAGCUACAAUCACCUAGAUCCUGACUUCUCUUGUACUAAUAACGUUUUGGAGAAGGUAAUAGUGGGACAAUCUCCAAGGAGGCCAAGACAUUUGAAGAAGUUUUCCACUGAUUCUAGUUUCUCCAUGGGUAUGCCCCAAGUGAAUGAUUCUCCAAGAUAUACAUCAUCAAGCUUCAAGAAGGAAUAUGUCUCACAGAGUGAGGACUUCUCCAAUUUGAGAAAAAUGGAUAAUGCAUCAGAACUUGGAGAUGACAUGAGUGAUAGAGUUUAUACCAUUGACUCUAUUCACAAUGGAGCUACAUACAAUGGUUUUCACGAGCCCAAACCGUCGGUUGGCAUUUACGAUGACUAUAUAACCACGCCGAGAGGGUCGCUAAAUCAGGUAGAUUUUGGGGACCCUGAAAUCAGAAAACUUUAUUUGAGGCUUCAGGUUCUUGAAGCAGACAGAGAAUCAAUGAAACAAGCAAUUAUUUCAAUGCGAACUGAUAAGGCCCAAAUGGUGUUACUGAAAGAAAUAGCUCAACAUCUAUUCAAGGAGAUGUCACCAGAUAAGCAAGUAGUUGUGAAGAAGCCAUCCGUUGUGUCGAGCUUUUCUUUCAUGGCGGUUUGUAAGUGUAUCGUAUCCUUCGUUUUAUGGAAAAGAAAAGCUCGUCGAAGCAAGUACUUGUUUGGGUUGUCAAACAGUGCUGGCUUGCUAAUGCUUCUCGAACAGGGUCCGGACACGAGACAGUGGAGAUGUCUUGCAAGCACACAAGUUUAGUACCGCUCACCUGAUGUUCAUAUCCAAUCAAACCCGACGUCCCGAAUAUGUGUAUUGAAGAAUGAUUUAUAGCCAGUCGAAUGCACAAUGGCUGCCUUUGCUUUAACAUCAAAUCUCUCAAGUCUUUUCUCCUUUCCUGUGGCCUCUAAUCGUUGUUCUUUCAUGGUGUUGUGAUAGUAUAUGCACCAUCUCUAUCAAUUUAAAAUCUUUUAUUUGAGAGGAGAGGGUUUGCAGAAUUGUGAGUGGUGCUUGUAUUCAGACCUCUGACCAUAUUUCAAAACCGUUUAAUAUAUACUUUUGGGUCAUUGA